UAUAACAGAACGUCAGCCCCCUGGUAUCAAUCUAGUCUGAGCGCGACUUUUGGGACUGACGGACUACCGCUGUUUGAAUCUCUCUGGGAAACUUGAUAUUUUGCUUCUUUCAAGCCUGAAACCCCUUUUGUCUUGUGGAAAUAACAAGCGCUACAUCGUCAGAAAAGAUGCUGCUCCUACUACUUGGAAUCGUCCUCCUGCACGUUGCUUCUCUGGUUCUCCUGUUUGUGUCAACGAUAGUCAGCGUAUGGACGUCAACCGAAUUCAGCACCUCAGACCUCUGGUACAACUGCACUACUAGCAAUGGAGGAUACCACUGUGACUACGCAUCAUCUGGAGGUCAGACACCUGCUUUA
Labrus bergylta (ballan wrasse) is the source of this 356-nucleotide non-coding RNA. The record is from RefSeq and is a predicted model, not a curated record. NCBI's taxonomy places the organism in Eukaryota, Metazoa, Chordata, Actinopteri, Labriformes, Labridae.